GGGCGGGUCGGACGCUCCGCACACAGCUCGAUACCCUGCGCUGAGACUCUCGACCACUGAAGCGACCGAUGGGGCACCUGUAGAAGCGAUAGCCCACAGCGUCCUCUGCGGAGAGACAAACGCGGAGAAAAGCCUCGUCUACUGAGCCUAGAGUACCCAGAAAAGCAAGCCCUCGCCAAUCACCCCAAAAGGACAGCAUAACAGAUACUCUAAAGGACAGUCGGCCACCACCCAAAACACAGAACAGUGAAUCUCCCAUCUGGAGGCUCCAGAGGUGACUGCUUUGGACCUUCGUUUCCUUAGUAUAGAAGGGCCGCAGAGGAAUUGAAUUUAUAUCCUACAAAGGCACUUACUCAAGGUACAGAUUUCUAGGCCCCAUUCCAGACCCACUGGAUUGGGAUUGGGCUAGGACCCGGGAUUCUGUCCUUUUAAUGUACGUCCCAGGUUGUCCAUGUUGAUGAUCAGCCAGUUUUGGAAACCACUGGAUUAGAUGACAUUAAAAGGCCUUUCACCUUUUCCACUGUUUUUCUCCUAACUCUCUGGCAAUUUAUAGUCUCCGUGGGCUCCUCUGCUGGCCUCUUUAGUACUGGAAGCAACAGUACUCAAACCUGGGCUGUGCAUCUGAUGGAGUUUGGAUGUGUAGUCCCCUCCAAAACUCAUGUGGAAAUUUGAUCUCCAAUGUGGCAGUGUUGGAAACUGAUUGAGUCAUGGGGGUGGAUCCCUCAUGAAUGGAUUGAUGCUCUCCCUAGGGGAGGGAGGAUUAAUGAGUGAGUUCUCCCUCUAUUAGUUCCCACGAGAGCUCAUUGCUUUAAAAGACCCUGGCACCUUCUCUCUCUCUCUUGCUUCCUCUUGCCAUGUGAUCUGCUUGUACCCGCUGGCUGCCUGCCAUUUUCCGCCAUGAGUAGAAGCAGCCUGAGGCCCACGCCAGAUGCAGCUGUCCCAGAAUUGUAAGCCAAAUAAACCUCUCUUCUUUAUAAAUUA
Long non-coding RNA from Cynocephalus volans (Philippine flying lemur), 981 nucleotides. RefSeq lists it as uncharacterized. The transcript is spliced from 3 exons. The record is from RefSeq and is a predicted model, not a curated record. Lineage: Eukaryota; Metazoa; Chordata; Mammalia; Dermoptera; Cynocephalidae.